This 367-nucleotide RNase P RNA is filed under the name Salmonella enterica subsp. enterica serovar Montevideo. RNAcentral describes it as "partial RNase P RNA component class A". It matches the Rfam family "Bacterial RNase P class A". Rfam says of the family: Ribonuclease P (RNase P) is a ubiquitous endoribonuclease, found in archaea, bacteria and eukarya as well as chloroplasts and mitochondria. Its best characterised activity is the generation of mature 5'-ends of tRNAs by cleaving the 5'-leader elements of precursor-tRNAs. The record is from RNAcentral. Lineage: Bacteria; Pseudomonadati; Pseudomonadota; Gammaproteobacteria; Enterobacterales; Enterobacteriaceae.
GAAGCUGACCAGACAGUCGCCGCUUCGUCGUCGUCCUUUCGGGGAGACGGGCGGAGGGGAGGAAAGUCCGGGCUCCAUAGGGCAGGGUGCCAGGUAACGCCUGGGGGGGGAAACCCACGACCAGUGCAACAGAGAGCAGACCGCCGAUGGCCCACGUAAGUGGGAUCAGGUAAGGGUGAAAGGGUGCGGUAAGAGCGCACCGCGCGGCUGGUAACAGUCCGUGGCACGGUAAACUCCACCCGGAGCAAGGCCAAAUAGGGGUUCAUAAGGUACGGCCCGUACUGAACCCGGGUAGGCUGCUUGAGCCAGUGAGCGAUUGCUGGCCUAGAUGAAUGACUGUCCACGACAGAACCCGGCUUAUCGGUCA